This 428-nucleotide ribosomal RNA is filed under the name uncultured bacterium. Its description in RNAcentral is "partial 16S ribosomal RNA". It matches the Rfam family "Bacterial small subunit ribosomal RNA", at positions 354 to 796 of the family's 1533-position model. The record is from RNAcentral.
GUCGAGAAUCUUCCGCAAUGCGCGAAAGCGUGACGGAGCGACACCGCGUGAUGGAUGAAGUCCUUCGGGGCGUAAACAUCUUUUAUAAAGGAGGAAAUUUUUGACGUUACUUUAUGAAUAAGGGGCUCCCAAUCUCGUGCCAGCAGGAGCGGUAAUACGAGAGCCUCAAGCGUUAUCCGGAAUCAUUGGGCGUAAAGGGUGCGUAGGUGGUUUGAUUAGUCUCCCGUUAAAACUUCGAGCUUAACUCGAAAAGAGCGGGGGAAACGGUCAAACUAGAGUAUGUGAGAGGGGUGUGGAACUAAUGGUGUAGGGGUGAAAUCCGUUGAUAUCAUGGGGAACACCAAAAGCGAAGGCAGCACACUGGCACAUCACUGACACUGAGGCACGAAACCUAAGGUAGCGAAUGGGAUUAGAAACCCGUGUAGUCC